Molecule: long non-coding RNA, 622 nt
Filed under: Phoenix dactylifera (date palm)
Lineage: Eukaryota; Viridiplantae; Streptophyta; Magnoliopsida; Arecales; Arecaceae
Description: long non-coding RNA (PDAC_LNC007255)
Source: RNAcentral
AUAUUCACACAAAUUUACAUAUUUAGGUUGAUAUUCAUGCAAAAAUAUUCUACUGAAAUUCAAUCAACAAGAUUAGAGAAACCAACAAGCCUAGGGAAUAGUGGGAAAUUGAGAUUGUUAAUUAUCACAAUUCAAUUGAAUUACCAAGUAUUUUGAGAUAGAUCUUGAUGAAUGGUUGUCAAAAUCUUCCAAAAGAACUAGAUGUUCGAUCAAUUCAUUUUUUACAACAACAUUAACGAAUAGAGGAUGGAAAUAAGUGUUUGUUCCAUAUCAGGUCUUCAACUUUUUUGUUUUUAAGUUUUCCUUUUGGUUAUCAUACUCACACAAAGGGCCGACCAAGCAUAGCCCGCGAUGAAUCGACAACCAUAGCCUGUCAUGAAUCGAUAACCAAAGGCCACCCUGUAGCAAACCUAAAAGUGCAUGGCCGACUUCAAAUUUCAAAAAACCCGCACAACUUGUGACACCUCGCCGUAAUUUCCAAUAGGUUUUAAGAUCAUGCCAAUUAAACGGACAGGAUGCAAUCUGCAUGUGAAACGAAUGCGCCUGACUUUUGAAACCUUACCUAUAGCAUCAUAGUCAUCGUUCCUUCUAGGUUGAUUGAAUCAUGUCUCAACACCCUCAA